AAUUGGAGCGAGCGAGGGAAGGCAGGGCGGUGGAGAAGGCAGGGCGGUGGAAGAAGUGGUGGUGGAGACGGCAAGAGAGAGAGAGAGAGAGCUUGGCGGUGGAAGAGCUUGGGACGAGAUAGCAAAGAUUGUCGGCGUUUUGGGGUGGAUUGGCGAUGAGGCCGCGGAGGUCGGCGUCGGAGUGGGCGACUGUGAGUGCGAUAGAGUCUUUGCCGGCGACGUAGCAUGGUGGAGGUGAGGGGGAAGAUGAUGGUGGCUGCUAGAGGUAGAAAGUGGUUGAGGGGCGGAGGGAGAGAGAAAGCUUGGCGAUCAAAACGCAGCGUUUUGCUCGCCGGCCGGAAACUUAUGCCGGCAAGCCACGUUAAUGACACGUAGGAUCAAAGCGUGUGCCGACAAGCCACGACAAAAAGGAGUGCUAAAAUUGAACACGGAGCAAAGGUAGUCA
This 445-nucleotide long non-coding RNA is filed under the name Salvia miltiorrhiza (redroot sage). RNAcentral describes it as "long non-coding RNA (SMIL_LNC010587)". Lineage: Eukaryota; Viridiplantae; Streptophyta; Magnoliopsida; Lamiales; Lamiaceae. The record is from RNAcentral.